Ipomoea triloba (trilobed morning glory) is the source of this 677-nucleotide long non-coding RNA. RefSeq lists it as uncharacterized. Lineage: Eukaryota; Viridiplantae; Streptophyta; Magnoliopsida; Solanales; Convolvulaceae. The record is from RefSeq and is a predicted model, not a curated record. The transcript is spliced from 3 exons.
AAUUGAAACUGUUGAAUUAUUAAACUUCCUGAAACCAAAUGUCCAAACCUCACACUGAAUGUUCAUAUCCAGCAUUCUUAUUCGCAUUUGGAAACUCUAAUGAUUGAAACUGCUAAAUUUUUAGGUCCUCUACAAAUUUUUGGACUACUUUAGCAAGUUUGACUGGGAAACAUAUUGUAUUUGUUUAACUGGUCUUGCUCGCAUAUCAUCUUUGCCAGAAAUUGUGGUUGAGGUUCCUGAAAAUGAUGGUGGUGAGUUACUGCUCAACAAUGAUUUUCUUAGAUAUUGUGUCAAAAUGUUUUCUGUUUCUUCAAGAGGGUAUGACAUGAACUCCAGAACCUUUCAACAAAAGCAUCUUACCAUAGUUGAUCCUCUGAAGGAAAAUAAAAAUCUUGGCCGUAGUGUCAGCAAAGGAAAUUUCUAUACAAUAUGGAGUGCUUUCACAUAUGGUGCUAGGAAGCUCAAGAGAAUACUCUUGUAGUUAGACGAUAAAAUUGUUGCCGAGCUUCAUAAUUUUUUUGCCAACACUUUGGGUCGACAUGGAAAUGGGCAGAGGCCUGAUGUUCAAGAUCUUUAGUCCAGUAGCUAGCUGUAAUAGUUUUUGUCAUAGUAACUUUACUUUUGUUAUUGCUAAUGAGUAUGAAUAUUUAAAUAUAAUAUAUUUUGCAAUUAUAUUA